AUGAUGGAGACUAUGAUUCCCCCACAAGUCGGGAUGAGACUCCAGACUUUAAAAAUAAAUAAAAGAGGCCAAAGAAGCCCACAUAAAAAAAGAGGCCAAAGAAGCCCACCCAAAAAAAUGAGAGAAAAAGAGAGAAGGGGCAAUGUUACUAUCCUUUUACCACACUUGUGCUUCAGAGUAGCACCAUGUUCUUCAUAUAGAGAGUCUCUUGAGUUACCACUUUCAUAUACUAGUGGGAAUUUUCAUUAUAGAACUUGGCUUGUAUAUUCCGAUGAUGGGCUUCCUCAAACGCCCGAGGUCUUCAUGAGGAAGCAAGUUGGAUGCACACCCAUUUAG
RNAcentral lists this ribosomal RNA (336 nucleotides) under Triticum aestivum (bread wheat). Its description in RNAcentral is "partial small subunit ribosomal RNA". Lineage: Eukaryota; Viridiplantae; Streptophyta; Magnoliopsida; Poales; Poaceae. The record is from RNAcentral.